Molecule: small RNA, 497 nt
Filed under: Pongo abelii (Sumatran orangutan)
Lineage: Eukaryota; Metazoa; Chordata; Mammalia; Primates; Hominidae
Description: retained intron
Source: RNAcentral
UUUUAGCCGGGGGUGGGAUGAGGAGGUGUGGAGGAAGAAGUCCUCCUUGUCUUGUUUGUGACUUUCCCAAUGUGGAGAAUAUUAAGCUAAAAGCAUUGCCUAGAAAAAACUGGUUUGGGCUUCAAUGACCUUGACCCUUUUCUCUGCUCAGUCCUUUGGGAUCCUAUUUCUUGGUGCUAAGAAGGGGUUCAUUCUCAAGUUAACCUAUUUCCUAUAAAAGGAAACCAGACUCAUGUCCCAGCCUCCCAUGGGACUGACUCAGCUUUGCCUCCCACAUUGCAGAUGGAUUACCGGGCCUUGGUGCAUGAGCGAGAUGAGGCAGCCUAUGGGGAGCUCAGGGCCAUGGUGCUGGACCUGAGGGCCUUCUAUGCUGAGCUUUAUCAUAUCAUCAGCAGCAACCUGGAGAAAAUUGUCAACCCAAAGGGUGAAGAGAAGCCAUCUAUGUACUGAACCCAGGACUAGAAGGAAAAUAAAUGAUCUAUAUGUUGUGUGGAUUC